This is a long non-coding RNA of Myotis brandtii (Brandt's bat), 520 nucleotides long. RefSeq lists it as uncharacterized. The record is from RefSeq and is a predicted model, not a curated record. Lineage: Eukaryota; Metazoa; Chordata; Mammalia; Chiroptera; Vespertilionidae. The transcript has 2 exons.
GGUGGGUGCUGGGUGCUGGGUGCUGGGUGCGGGGUGUUGGUAGUGCCUCGACUUGAACCUGGGUCCGUUGACCAUGGAUUCUGCUCUCUCUCCUGUGGGGCCCAAGCCUGAGCCUCUGUGAACAAGGUAGAUUUAAUCCUCGUGAUCUCUACGGAGUCCCCGCCCCAACAACACCAAGGUCGUUCACCCUGUCUGUUUCCUCGGGGCCGCCCAGCGCCUGCUUGGCUGACUGGUGCGGCUGAGCAGCCCAGAAAGAACGUGACCCAGGAGGGUACGCAUGCAGGCACCAGACGGGAGCUUUUGGAGACUGUCAGCACAGAAAACAACUUGCCUAACGAGACAGCAGAGAACUGCAAAGGCCGUGGCCCCAGAGGCCUGAGCCGCUGCUUCCAUCUGCAGCGUGAUUGAUGAUAAGCAUCUAUGUGCACCAGUGAGUUGAAAGAAAACUGUAACUGUUCCGGGAAACAGCAACCGAAGUCACAAAUCAUAAAUAAUAAAAGAUAGAAAAAUCCUCUUUUAA